Molecule: long non-coding RNA, 275 nt
Organism: Hyposmocoma kahamanoa
Lineage: Eukaryota; Metazoa; Arthropoda; Insecta; Lepidoptera; Cosmopterigidae
Exons: 3
Source: RefSeq, a predicted model, not a curated record
GACCCUUGAAUUACGCACCGCCGAUUUGUGGAAAGUUAUUGCCAAAUUUGGCAAGGGCAAUGCCCAAGCGUUUAUCAUACUCUCCGCAUUCGAGGAACACCUUGCGAGUGUGAUGAGGCACUACAGAGCCCGAAAACACGUAAUUGUGAAGUAUAAAAGCAGCAUCUUGCAGUUUAAACGCAACCUGAUGGAUCUGAGGGAAGCUCGGGACGCCAAUGGCCGCCAGCUGCUGGCGCGCAAUGACGCGUUUUUGGACAUCGCCGGGUGUUACAUUA